UAGGGAAUAUUGCGCAAUGGGCGAAAGCCUGACGCAGCAACUCCACGUGUGGGAUGAAGCAUUUCGGUGUGUAAACCACUGUCGGCAGGGAACAAAAGCCCCGUAAGGGUGAUUGAGGGUACCUGCAGAGGAAGCACCGGCAAACUUCGUGCCAGCAGCCGCGGUAACACGAGGGGUGCGAGCGUUGUUCGGAAUCACUGGGCGUAAAGGGCGCGUAGGCGGGCUGGUAAGUCGGGGGUUUAAUCACGGGGCCUAACCCCGUGGCCGCCUCCGAUACUGCCAGUCUUGGGUAGGUCAGGGGCUUGGGGAACAUCUGGUGUAGCGGUGGAAUGCGUAGAUAUCAGAUGGAACACCAGUGGCGAAGGCGCCAAGCUGGGACCAUACCGACGCUGAGGCGCGAAAGUGCGUGGAGCGAACAGG
RNAcentral lists this ribosomal RNA (420 nucleotides) under uncultured bacterium. RNAcentral describes it as "bacterial SSU rRNA". It matches the Rfam family "Bacterial small subunit ribosomal RNA", at positions 355 to 776 of the family's 1533-position model. The record is from RNAcentral.